CCCCCAUGGGCAUCAUUACAGCCCCACAUGCUCCUCUGCAGCCCCACAUGCACUGUUGCAGCCCCACAUGCACCCCUGCAGCCCCCAACGUGCAUCAUUGCAGCCCCACAUGCACCAUCGCAACCCCUCAAGGGCAUCAUUACAGCCCCACAUGCUCCCCUGCAGCCCCACAUGGGCAUCAUUGCAGCCCCCCAUAUGCACCGUUGCAGCUCCACAUGCUCCUGUGCAGCCCCCCACGGGCACUGUUGCAGCCCCACAUGCUCCUCUGCAGCCCCACAUGCACCGUUGCAGCCCCCCAUGGGCAUCGUUGCAGCCCCACAUGCUCCCCUGCGGCCCCACAUGGGCAUCAUUGCAGCCCCACAUGCACCAUUGCAGCCCCAAAUGCACCAUUGCAGCCCCCCAUAGGCACCAUUGCAGCUCCACACGCACCAUUGCAGCCCCCCAUGGGCAUCAUUGCAGCCCCACAUGCACCGUUGCAGCUCCACAUGCUCUCCUGCAGCCCCACAUGCACCGUUGCAACCCCUCAAGGACACCAUUGCAGCCCCACAUGUACCACUGCAGCCCCCCAUGGGCAUCAUUACAGCCCCACAUGCACCCCUUGCAGCCCCACAUGCACCGCUGCAACCCCACGACCACCGUUGCAGCCCCACAUGGGCAUCAUUGCAGGCCCACAUGCUCCCCUGCGGCCCCACAUGGGCAUCAUUGCAGCCCCACAUGCACCAUUGAACCCCCACAUGCACCGCUGCAACCCCACGACCACCGUUGCAGCCCCACAUGCACCUCUGCAGCCCCACAUGAGCAUCAUUACAGCCCCACAUGGUCCCCUGCAGACCCCCACAUGCACCUCUGCAGCCCCCCAUGGGCACUGUUGCAGCCCCACAUGCACCAUUGCAGCCCCACAUGCACCAUUGCAACCCCUCAAAGGCAUCAUUGCAGCCCCACAUGCUCCCCUGCAGCCCCCCAUGAUCCACNNNNNNNNNNNNNNNNNNNNNNNNNNNNNNNNNNNNNNNNNNNNNNNNN
This 1020-nucleotide long non-coding RNA is filed under the name Calidris pugnax (ruff). RNAcentral's name for it is "lncRNA (ENSCPUG00000001564.1)". The record is from RNAcentral. Lineage: Eukaryota; Metazoa; Chordata; Aves; Charadriiformes; Scolopacidae.